This is a non-coding RNA of Vicugna pacos (alpaca), 73 nucleotides long. NCBI's taxonomy places the organism in Eukaryota, Metazoa, Chordata, Mammalia, Artiodactyla, Camelidae. The record is from the annotation of a RefSeq genome assembly.
GGAGGCGGUGGCUCAGUGGUAGAGCGCGUGCUUACCACGCACGAGGUCCUGGGUUCGAUACCCCGUGCCUCUA